Molecule: ribosomal RNA, 305 nt
Filed under: uncultured bacterium
Lineage: Bacteria
Description: bacterial SSU rRNA
Rfam family: Bacterial small subunit ribosomal RNA
Source: RNAcentral
CCCUACGGGACGCAGCAGUAGGGAAUCUUCCACAAUGGACGAAAGUCUGAUGGAGCAACGCCGCGUGAGUGAAGAAGGGUUUCGGCUCGUAAAGCUCUGUUGGUAGUGAAGAAAGAUAGAGGUAGUAACUGGCCUUUAUUUGACGGUAAUUACUUAGAAAGUCACGGCUAACUACGUGCCAGCAGCCGCGGUAAUACGUAGGUGGCAAGCGUUGUCCGGAUUUAUUGGGCGUAAAGCGAGUGCAGGCGGUUCAAUUAAGCUGAUUUGAAAACCUUUGGGCCAACCGGGGAAUUGCAUCAGAAACU